This 234-nucleotide long non-coding RNA is filed under the name Olea europaea (common olive). Its description in RNAcentral is "long non-coding RNA (OEUR_LNC007292)". Lineage: Eukaryota; Viridiplantae; Streptophyta; Magnoliopsida; Lamiales; Oleaceae. The record is from RNAcentral.
AUAUGUUCAGAUGAUUGAUUGGAUCGGUGGUCCCAUCAUAUUCUUUGAUCCUAGGAUACUUAAAUCUGUCCGGCAAGGGGAAUGUUAAUAUCUCGGGAGUAAAUGGAGUGUUGGGACUGAAUCUUGUCGUCCCUUUGUUGCCCUGAAGUAGGCCCGCCGUAAUUCCUUCUUGAAUAAUCCUAGCAAGUUCCCCGGACUCCAUGGUCAGUGAUCUCGAGGCCGAGGUCACAUGUG